This 800-nucleotide ribosomal RNA is filed under the name uncultured Chloroflexota bacterium. Its description in RNAcentral is "bacterial SSU rRNA". It matches the Rfam family "Bacterial small subunit ribosomal RNA", at positions 32 to 850 of the family's 1533-position model. Lineage: Bacteria; Bacillati; Chloroflexota. The record is from RNAcentral.
AACAUUGGCGGGGUCUUAGACUGCAGUCGACGGGGAAGUUGUAGCAAUACGGCUUCUCAGUGGCGAAUGGGUGCGUAACACGUAGGUGACCUGCCCUGAAGUGGGGAAUAACAGUCCGAAAGGAUUGCUAAUACCGCAUGUGGUCCCAGGGGUUAGAGGCCUUGGGACUAAAGACGAAAGUCGCUUCAGGAGGGGCCUGCGGCCCAUCAGCUUGUUGGCAGGGUAAUGGCCUACCAAGGCGAUGACGGGUAGGGGACCUGAGAGGGUGACCCCCCACACUGGCACUGACAUACGGGCCAGACUCCUACGGGAGGCAGCAGUCGGGAAUAUUGCACAAUGGGCGAAAGCCUGAUGCAGCAACGCCGCGUGCGCGAUGAAGGCCUUCGGGUCGUAAAGCGCUUUUCGGGAGGAUGAGGAAGGACAGUACUCCCGGAAUAAGUCACGGCUAACUACGUGCCAGCAGCCGCGGUAAAGCGUAGGUGGCGAGCGUUAUCCGGAUUUACUGGGCGUAAAGCGCGUUCAGGCGGCUUGGCAAGUCGGGCAUGAAAUCUCUCGGCUCAACCGGGAGAGGCUGUCCGAUACUGCUGGGCUUGAGGGCAGUAGAGGAUGGUGGAAUUCCGGGUGUAGUGGUAAAAUGCGUAGAUAUCCGGAGGAACACCAGUGGCGAAGGCGGCCAUCUGGGCUGCACCUGACGCUCAAGCGCGAAAGCUAGGGGAGCGAACGGGAUUAGAAACCCCGGUAGUCCUAGCCCUAAACGAUGUUGACUAGGUGUCGGAGGCUUAAACCCCUUCGGUGCCGCA